UUACGUUGUGCAAAAACACAAUUCUGUUUCCUUCUUGGAGUCUCGCGGGAAUACUUCGAUCCUCGUUUACAAGCCAAGAACUUGUUAGUGGAGGUAAGAAUGAAAAAAGAAGAGAACGAAAGAAAAGAAUGAAAAAAAAAAAGAAUGAAAAAAGAAAAGAAUGAAAAAAAAAAGAAUGAAAAAAGAAAAGAAUGAGAAAUAUAGAGAAAGAUGAAAAAAAGGAGAUUGAUCAUACAUUGCAUACAUAACAUAUUGCAUACCUCAUGCAUAUCUUUACAAAUUGUACAACUGACCCAUUCUCCCCACAGACAUUUC
Molecule: long non-coding RNA, 315 nt
Filed under: Lathyrus oleraceus (garden pea)
Lineage: Eukaryota; Viridiplantae; Streptophyta; Magnoliopsida; Fabales; Fabaceae
Description: Pisum sativum (pea) long non-coding RNA (PSAT_LNC039301)
Source: RNAcentral